Ictidomys tridecemlineatus (thirteen-lined ground squirrel) is the source of this 117-nucleotide small nuclear RNA. The record is from Ensembl. NCBI's taxonomy places the organism in Eukaryota, Metazoa, Chordata, Mammalia, Rodentia, Sciuridae.
GUGUUUCCUCAUUAUAAAAACUUUGGCAGCACAUGUACUAAAAUUGGAAAGAUACAGAUAUUAGCAUGGCCCCUCAACAAGGAUGACAUACAAAUUUGCAAAACAUUUCAUAUUUUU